UACGGAGGGUGCAAACGUUGCUCGGAAUCAUUGGGCGUAAAGCGCACGUAGGCGGCCUGUUAAGUCGGAUGUGAAAGCCCCGGGCUCAACCCGGGAAGUGCAUACGAAACUGGCAGGCUUGAAUAUGGAAGAGGGUCGCGGAAUUCCCGGUGUAGAGGUGAAAUUCGUAGAUAUCGGGAGGAACACCGGUGGCGAAGGCGGCGACCUGGGUAGAUACUGACGCUGAGGUGCGAAAGCGUGGGGAGCAAACAGG
Molecule: ribosomal RNA, 253 nt
Filed under: uncultured bacterium
Lineage: Bacteria
Description: partial 16S ribosomal RNA
Rfam family: Bacterial small subunit ribosomal RNA
Source: RNAcentral